AGGGUUCGAUUCUGGCUCAGGAUGAACGCUGGCGGCGUGCUUAACACAUGCAAGUCGAACGGAGUGCUCAUGACAGAGGAUUCGUCCAAUGGAGUGAGUUACUUAGUGGCGGACGGGUGAGUAACGCGUGAGUAACCUGCCUUGGAGUGGGGAAUAACAGGUGGAAACAUCUGCUAAUACCGCAUGAUGCAGUUGGGUCGCAUGGCUCUGACUGCCAAAGAUUUAUCGCUCUGAGAUGGACUCGCGUCUGAUUAGCUGGUUGGCGGGGUAACGGCCCACCAAGGCGACGAUCAGUAGCCGGACUGAGAGGUUGGCCGGCCACAUUGGGACUGAGACACGGCCCAG
Molecule: ribosomal RNA, 345 nt
Filed under: uncultured bacterium
Lineage: Bacteria
Description: bacterial SSU rRNA
Rfam family: Bacterial small subunit ribosomal RNA
Source: RNAcentral